ACGAAGGGGGCUAGCGUUGCUCGGAAUUACUGGGCGUAAAGGGCGCGUAGGCGGACAGUUUAGUCAGAGGUGAAAGCCCAGGGCUCAACCUUGGAAUUGCCUUUGAUACUGGCUGUCUUGAGUUCGGGAGAGGUGAGUGGAAUGCCGAGUGUAGAGGUGAAAUUCGUAGAUAUUCGGCGGAACACCAGUGGCGAAGGCGACUCACUGGCCCGAUACUGACGCUGAGGCGCGAAAGCGUGGGGAGCAAACAGGA
RNAcentral lists this ribosomal RNA (253 nucleotides) under uncultured prokaryote. Its description in RNAcentral is "partial 16S ribosomal RNA". It matches the Rfam family "Bacterial small subunit ribosomal RNA", at positions 525 to 777 of the family's 1533-position model. The record is from RNAcentral.